RNAcentral lists this long non-coding RNA (721 nucleotides) under Lepisosteus oculatus (spotted gar). Its description in RNAcentral is "lncRNA (ENSLOCG00000022288.1)". Lineage: Eukaryota; Metazoa; Chordata; Actinopteri; Semionotiformes; Lepisosteidae. The record is from RNAcentral.
AUAAGCUAGCUGCCUUUUAAAUAGGCUGCUUUUAAAGUACAGAGGGUCCUUGCUGUCAGUGCAGCUGGGGUGGAAAAUGGAUUAUGUCAUACAGUGCGAUGUCAUGUCUCUUUGUGAUGUCACUAAGUACGUGAUGUCCCAAGCACUGUAGGAGAGAGAGGCUGGAGCACAGAGGGACAGAGCAAGAGAGAUUUGUUUCUGAAGUGAGAAAGACCUUUAAGCGUAUAAGUCGUUAAGUUCAAAAGGGGAGGAGGGGGUCUUUCCCCAUUGCUUAGAUCACCAUAAUGCUGAUGACAAGAGGCGGAGCUACAAUGAGGAACAGCCAGGUGUGGAGGAACCCAGUGAAAACAAUCGCCCCGGUCAACGCCAGCAGGAACAAGGUGGUGGACAAACAGAUAGACCUUCUCAUUUUCUCCUGGGCCAGGAGGCAGAGGAGUGACUCAGGAAAGGCUACGGUCUUGGAUAGGCGUUAUCUCACCCCCACUCCCCCUGCGAACCCCAGACCAGAGCACAGGGAGUGCCGAACACCCCCAAGGAGAGAGAGCACCUCCCGCUGGACUCCGGUCACCUCCAAUUCCCUCACUCCCUUCUUUACUGCUUGUAAAUCUACCUGUGGCUACCGCUUCUCCUGGGAUACUGAUCACAAGAAGAGGCGCACAGGGAUUCCGCCCAGAAACAUUGAACAAGAAUAAAUUGAGACUCCUGCUACAACAAACACAUU